This 253-nucleotide ribosomal RNA is filed under the name uncultured bacterium. RNAcentral describes it as "partial 16S ribosomal RNA". It matches the Rfam family "Bacterial small subunit ribosomal RNA", at positions 524 to 776 of the family's 1533-position model. The record is from RNAcentral.
UACGUAGGGUGCAAGCGUUGUCCGGAAUCAUUGGGCGUAAAGCGCGCGUAGGUGGCCAUUUAAGUCCGCUGUGAAAGUCAAAGGCUCAACCUUUGAAAGCCGGUGGAUACUGGAUGGCUAGAGUACGGAAGAGGCGAGUGGAAUUCCUGGUGUAGCGGUGGAAUGCGUAGAGAUCCGGAAGAACACCAGUGGCGAAGGCGGCCCGCUGGGCAGUGGCUGACGCUGAAGCGCGACAGCGUGGGGAGCAAACAGG